This 76-nucleotide transfer RNA is filed under the name Gammaproteobacteria bacterium. RNAcentral describes it as "tRNA-Lys". It matches the Rfam family "tRNA". From Rfam's summary of the family: Transfer RNA (tRNA) molecules are approximately 80 nucleotides in length. Their secondary structure includes four short double-helical elements and three loops (D, anti-codon, and T loops). Lineage: Bacteria; Pseudomonadati; Pseudomonadota; Gammaproteobacteria. The record is from RNAcentral.
GGGUCGUUAGCUCAGUCGGUAGAGCAGCGGACUCUUAAUCCGCGGGUCGUAGGUUCGAUCCCUACACGACCCACCA